This 70-nucleotide transfer RNA is filed under the name Dipodomys ordii (Ord's kangaroo rat). It matches the Rfam family "tRNA". From Rfam's summary of the family: Transfer RNA (tRNA) molecules are approximately 80 nucleotides in length. Their secondary structure includes four short double-helical elements and three loops (D, anti-codon, and T loops). Lineage: Eukaryota; Metazoa; Chordata; Mammalia; Rodentia; Heteromyidae. The record is from Rfam by way of RNAcentral.
GGGAAUGUGGCUUAGUGGUAGAGUACUGGCCUAGCAUGCCUGAAGCCCUGGGUUCGAUUCCUCAGUACCA